GCCGAAGUGGUGGAAUGGGCAGACGCGCUGGAUUCAAAAUCCAGUGGGCUUAACACCCGUGCGGGUUCGACCCCCGCCUUCGGCACCA
RNAcentral lists this transfer RNA (88 nucleotides) under Thermoanaerobacterales bacterium. RNAcentral's name for it is "tRNA-Leu". It matches the Rfam family "tRNA". From Rfam's summary of the family: Transfer RNA (tRNA) molecules are approximately 80 nucleotides in length. Their secondary structure includes four short double-helical elements and three loops (D, anti-codon, and T loops). Lineage: Bacteria; Bacillati; Bacillota; Clostridia; Thermoanaerobacterales. The record is from RNAcentral.